Poecilia latipinna (sailfin molly) is the source of this 338-nucleotide long non-coding RNA. RefSeq lists it as uncharacterized. NCBI's taxonomy places the organism in Eukaryota, Metazoa, Chordata, Actinopteri, Cyprinodontiformes, Poeciliidae. The record is from RefSeq and is a predicted model, not a curated record. The transcript is spliced from 2 exons.
CCAUUGUAAACAGCGGGUAACUUCCUGUUUCAAAAAUUAUUAUUUUUAUUUAAAUUUGGCGUUUUAUAAAGGAAAAGGUAAAUUGUUAUCUCUACUGUUAAACAUAUUGAGUUCAUAUAUUGUUGUUUUGAGUGUCAGUUUGGGGUUUAAGAAGAACAAUUAACGGGGCAUACCACUAUAGUUCAUGAAAGGUUUUCCCACGAUCUCCGUCGCGCUCUUUCUGUUCGAAUCCCGUGUGGGAGAAGGCGCUGUGAAGCACCGUGCAGAGAAAGAGCCUGUUUUUGACUUUUCUUUUUCUGCUGUUUAAUGCAGGGAUAUUAAAGGUGCCUUCAAGAUCA